GUGAUGGGCUGGCAGCCCAGUGCGGGCUGUGCGAGGGGCAGGGGGAGGGCAGCCCUGGGGCUGUGGGGGGCUGAAAGCGUUGGAUAGUGAGACAGUUCUUGGGUUGAUAGUGGACAGCAAAAGAAUUGACAGGGAGAGAGUUGGUGGAUAGUAAGAAACCUAGUGUAUAGCAAGACAGUUGAUAGCAAGAAAAAUAGUUGGUAGUGAGAUAGUGGAAAGACAGUGCAUAGCAAGACAGAUGAGCCACGGAGACCUGGGACACCACUCUCCCCUCCAGCAUGUGAUGAGGACCAACGCCUGAUGCUGCUUCAGCGCCGGCAGAAGAACAGCAGCUCUGGGAACACCCGUCCUGCCAGCAGAGCAUCACAGGGAAGAGGACGCACCUUCUGCUCAGAGCUAGUUACUCUUCUCCUGUAAGCCGAGCUUUGACAGAGUUGAUGUCCAAAACAGCCGAGGAAGAACUGGACUGAAGAGGAGAGCGCCAGCUGACAGCGCCCGUCUGGUGUGAUGUGCCCAGAGAGAGACUCGUCCAGCAAGAGAUAGAGUAGAUAGGGAGCAUAGGGACCCAGUUAGCUCUAAAAUGUCUUAGUAGUGCAGUUGUAAGAAAGCUCUGUAAAUAAAUUGUAUGCCAUUGUUUUCAUAUCCUUACACUGUGUCCAAAACUGUGUUUGUUCGUAGCCCGAUAUGCCUAGAAAUAAAUGACAGAACAAUAAAUCUUUUCCUCUG
Molecule: long non-coding RNA, 726 nt
Organism: Gallus gallus (chicken)
Lineage: Eukaryota; Metazoa; Chordata; Aves; Galliformes; Phasianidae
Source: Ensembl